AAAAUCAAAUUAAUUCAAACUUCAAAGUAAAUUUAAUCUAAUAAACAUGAUGAACCAAGCUGUUAUUUUGAAUAUAUUUUUUUUCAUAAUUAUUAUAAUGAUGACAGUUCUUUUUGAACUAGAAGCUACACCUGUAACAUCAACUGAAUCCAACGUGGACUAUAAUGCUUGUGAUGGUCUCUGCCAAGGGGAACCAAGAAAAUUAAAAUAAUAAAUACCUUGAUUGAUUAAUAAAUUGUUAAAAAUUUA
Long non-coding RNA from Aphidius gifuensis, 249 nucleotides. RefSeq lists it as uncharacterized. Lineage: Eukaryota; Metazoa; Arthropoda; Insecta; Hymenoptera; Braconidae. The record is from RefSeq and is a predicted model, not a curated record. The transcript is spliced from 2 exons.